This 484-nucleotide ribosomal RNA is filed under the name uncultured bacterium. RNAcentral describes it as "partial 16S ribosomal RNA". It matches the Rfam family "Bacterial small subunit ribosomal RNA", at positions 30 to 507 of the family's 1533-position model. The record is from RNAcentral.
AUUGAACGCUGGCGGCAGGCCUAACACAUGCAAGUCGAGCGGAAGAACGGAACUUGCUCCUGGAUUCAGCUGGCGACGGGCGGGUAAGUCCGAGAAACCUGCCAGGCUAUUUGGGAUAACGUCCGAAAGCGGGCACUAAUACCGUAUACGUCCAUACGGAGAACGUGGGGGAUCAUCGGACCUUACGCUAUUAGCUGAGCCUAGGUCGGAUUAGCUAGUUGGUUGGGUAAAGGCCUACCAAGGCGACGAUCCGUAGCUGGUCUGAGAGGAUGAUCAGUCACACUGGAACUGAGACACGGUCCAGACUCCUACGGGAGGCAGCAGUGGGGAAUAUUGGACAAUGGGCGAAAGCCUGAUCCAGCCAUGCCGCGUGUGUGAAGAAGGUCUUCGGAUUGUAAAGCCCUUUUAUUGGGGAGGAAGAGCAGUAAGUUAAUACCUUGCUGUUUUGACGGUACCAAAAGAAUAAGCACCGGCUAACUUCGUG